AUUGAACGCUGGCGGCAGGCCUAACACAUGCAAGUCGAACGAGUGGCGGACGGGUGAGUAAUGUCUGGGAAACUGCCCGAUGGAGGGGGAUAACUACUGGAAACGGUAGCUAAUACCGCAUACCAUCGGAUGUGCCCAGAUGGGAUUAGCUAGUAGGUGGGGUAACGGCUCACCUAGGCGACGAUCCCUAGCUGGUCUGAGAGGAUGACCAGCCACACGGGAGCUGAGACACGGCCCAGCACCCGACGGGAGGCAGCAGUGGGGAAUAUUGCGCAAUGGGCGCAAGCCUGAUGCAGGCAUGCAGCGUGUAGGAAGAAGGCCUUCGGGUUGUAAAGUACUUGCAGCGGUGAGGCGUUACCCGCAGAAGAAGCACCGGCUAACUCCGUGCCAGCAGCCGCGGUAAUAC
RNAcentral lists this ribosomal RNA (406 nucleotides) under uncultured bacterium. RNAcentral's name for it is "partial 16S ribosomal RNA". It matches the Rfam family "Bacterial small subunit ribosomal RNA", at positions 29 to 526 of the family's 1533-position model. The record is from RNAcentral.